RNAcentral lists this ribosomal RNA (1556 nucleotides) under Lactobacillus crispatus. Its description in RNAcentral is "bacterial SSU rRNA". It matches the Rfam family "Bacterial small subunit ribosomal RNA". Lineage: Bacteria; Bacillati; Bacillota; Bacilli; Lactobacillales; Lactobacillaceae. The record is from RNAcentral.
GAGUUUGAUCAUGGCUCAGGACGAACGCUGGCGGCGUGCCUAAUACAUGCAAGUCGAGCGAGCGGAACUAACAGAUUUACUUCGGUAAUGACGUUAGGAAAGCGAGCGGCGGAUGGGUGAGUAACACGUGGGGAACCUGCCCCAUAGUCUGGGAUACCACUUGGAAACAGGUGCUAAUACCGGAUAAGAAAGCAGAUCGCAUGAUCAGCUUUUAAAAGGCGGCGUAAGCUGUCGCUAUGGGAUGGCCCCGCGGUGCAUUAGCUAGUUGGUAAGGUAAAGGCUUACCAAGGCGAUGAUGCAUAGCCGAGUUGAGAGACUGAUCGGCCACAUUGGGACUGAGACACGGCCCAAACUCCUACGGGAGGCAGCAGUAGGGAAUCUUCCACAAUGGACGCAAGUCUGAUGGAGCAACGCCGCGUGAGUGAAGAAGGUUUUCGGAUCGUAAAGCUCUGUUGUUGGUGAAGAAGGAUAGAGGUAGUAACUGGCCUUUAUUUGACGGUAAUCAACCAGAAAGUCACGGCUAACUACGUGCCAGCAGCCGCGGUAAUACGUAGGUGGCAAGCGUUGUCCGGAUUUAUUGGGCGUAAAGCGAGCGCAGGCGGAAGAAUAAGUCUGAUGUGAAAGCCCUCGGCUUAACCGAGGAACUGCAUCGGAAACUGUUUUUCUUGAGUGCAGAAGAGGAGAGUGGAACUCCAUGUGUAGCGGUGGAAUGCGUAGAUAUAUGGAAGAACACCAGUGGCGAAGGCGGCUCUCUGGUCUGCAACUGACGCUGAGGCUCGAAAGCAUGGGUAGCGAACAGGAUUAGAUACCCUGGUAGUCCAUGCCGUAAACGAUGAGUGCUAAGUGUUGGGAGGUUUCCGCCUCUCAGUGCUGCAGCUAACGCAUUAAGCACUCCGCCUGGGGAGUACGACCGCAAGGUUGAAACUCAAAGGAAUUGACGGGGGCCCGCACAAGCGGUGGAGCAUGUGGUUUAAUUCGAAGCAACGCGAAGAACCUUACCAGGUCUUGACAUCUAGUGCCAUUUGUAGAGAUACAAAGUUCCCUUCGGGGACGCUAAGACAGGUGGUGCAUGGCUGUCGUCAGCUCGUGUCGUGAGAUGUUGGGUUAAGUCCCGCAACGAGCGCAACCCUUGUUAUUAGUUGCCAGCAUUAAGUUGGGCACUCUAAUGAGACUGCCGGUGACAAACCGGAGGAAGGUGGGGAUGACGUCAAGUCAUCAUGCCCCUUAUGACCUGGGCUACACACGUGCUACAAUGGGCAGUACAACGAGAAGCGAGCCUGCGAAGGCAAGCGAAUCUCUGAAAGCUGUUCUCAGUUCGGACUGCAGUCUGCAACUCGACUGCACGAAGCUGGAAUCGCUAGUAAUCGCGGAUCAGCACGCCGCGGUGAAUACGUUCCCGGGCCUUGUACACACCGCCCGUCACACCAUGGGAGUCUGCAAUGCCCAAAGCCGGUGGCCUAACCUUCGGGAAGGAGCCGUCUAAGGCAGGGCAGAUGACUGGGGUGAAGUCGUAACAAGGUAGCCGUAGGAGAACCUGCGGCUGGAUCACCUCCUUA